AUUGAACGCUGGCGGCAUGCCUUACACAUGCAAGUCGAACGGCAGCACGGGUGCUUGCACCUGGUGGCGAGUGGCGAACGGGUGAGUAAUACAUCGGAACAUGUCCUGUAGUGGGGGAUAGCCCGGCGAAAGCCGGAUUAAUACCGCAUACGAUCUACGGAUGACAGCGGGGGACCUUCGGGCCUCGCGCUAUAGGGUUGGCCGAUGGCUGAUUAGCUAGUUGGUGGGGUAAAGGCCUACCAAGGCGACGAUCAGUAGCUGGCCUGAGAGGACGACCAGCCACACUGGGACUGAGACACGGCCCAGACUCCUACGGGAGGCAGCAGUGGGGAAUUUUGGACAAUGGGCGAAAGCCUGAUCCAGCAAUGCCGCGUGUGUGAAGAAGGCCUUCGGGUUGUAAAGCACUUUUGUCCGGAAAGAAAUCCUUGGCCCUAAUACGGUCGGGGGAUGACGGUACCGGAAGAAUAAGCACCGGCUAACUACGUG
This 486-nucleotide ribosomal RNA is filed under the name uncultured bacterium. RNAcentral's name for it is "partial 16S ribosomal RNA". It matches the Rfam family "Bacterial small subunit ribosomal RNA", at positions 30 to 507 of the family's 1533-position model. The record is from RNAcentral.